Diachasmimorpha longicaudata is the source of this 1472-nucleotide long non-coding RNA. RefSeq lists it as uncharacterized. The transcript has 3 exons. NCBI's taxonomy places the organism in Eukaryota, Metazoa, Arthropoda, Insecta, Hymenoptera, Braconidae. The record is from RefSeq and is a predicted model, not a curated record.
UCAAACAAUUACGGUGAUGGAAAAUAACGAAAAAAGUGAAAGAAAAUCAGAAGACACUUUUUGAAAUUCCAGGGGAUGCGGGAGGAAUUAGGAGAAAGGAAGGGAUUGGGAUGCAGAACAUUCACAUCACAUUCCAAUGUGAACAUCAUCACAAUUAACGCCAACUUCAUUUUGUGCAAGAAAAAAGGUGGUCGGAUAGGAGGAGGGAGCAGGGGGCGAAAGCCCCCCUGGAGAUGAUCAGCUGAGCAAGUAGGGGUGUGAUAAUCCCCCAGUAUUAGAAUAUUCAAGUGUCUUUGGCGUCUUGCCCAAGAAAUUCCACCAUUUUGAAUCAUCAAAUUUGUCCAAUAAUUUGCGAAAAAUAACGGAAAUUCGAGGGAGAAUUUUAUUUUCCAUUUCUUUGAGUAUUCAGAAAGAUUUAAAAUUCAUAAGUCUAUAAGAAUAUUAUAAAUAUAAAAUCUGCAAGUCAUAAACGGAAGUAUAUUGCCCCUAAAAAUAGAAGAUCAUUGAUUUAAGGUUGUUGUACCAAGAGCGACAGUGGCAAAAUUUUUCAGGUUGCGCCCGAGGAUCCCGCUGAACUAAGGCUUGGAUUAAAUCACAAACUUUUACCGAAGUACAGUCCAACGUGCCUCACACACACGAGUAUAUGCAUUAAUACGUGCGCAUGCAACUAACGGGGAACGGUGUUGAUCUCUCUCUCUCUCUUCUCUUCAAGACGUAUAUCCGAACCUGGAAGACCUCGCACUUGAGGUGGUUGAAUUUUUUCAAAAUAAUUAGGAAAACGUCAAGUGGAUUGAAGCACAGGGGACGAUUUAUUUAUUUAUUUAAUAUCAGCGGGACGAGCUGUAGCUGGGCUGUUGCCCCGUCAGGAGUAUGAAUUUACUUGCGCCGCCCACUUUGGAAGAAAACCCGACUUUCUCAAAUUAUUAUUCAGGGAAUAACACAAACAGCCCAACACGUGGACCAACUCAAUAGACAGAAGGGCCUUGUUUUUGGGGCAGAUCUCACACCCUGGACGAACCGAGGGCUGAGAAUGCUCUCGAGUAAACCACAUCGGAUUAACACCCUAAAUGAUAAGAUCACUUCGAGGGGCCAGGGGGGGGGAGAGGAUAUGACACAGAAGACAACUCUAGAAGGACUUUUCCUGGAGCACGUACUGGGGAAUGGCAACAUGUGGAGGCGAGUGAGAUAUUUGGGGGAAAAUGGAGAGAAAAAAAAAAACUUAAGUAGCACUGGGCAAUAUUCUCCUGUAUUUUCUCGUCAUCAGGGCUGAGGAGAUCCUUAAUGAGGUAUCUUUUUAUUUUCUCUCGCCAACUGCGAUUCCUACCCAAUUAAAUGGGCUCUUCCUCACUCUCUGGCUUCUUCGUGCUCGAAGUACCCAGGGGGAGGGGGAUCUCAAAUAUUAUCAUUUGCGGUAUCAACGCUAUUAUGUAUUUCAUCAGUUUUUGGGAUUGCGCUUGCGACGCAGUGGUGAG